AAGAGAAGAAAGGAGCUGUUAUUGCCAGGAGGCAAGAAGUAGGCCUUUGUCACCUCAAAUUAGGGCUUUAGGGUUUUGUUUAUGAAAACCCCUGAUCUUCCUCUCCUGGACUUUUCUGCAAGCAACUUCUGGUGCUUAUUUGCUUUAUCUCCACAAUCAGGACCUCCAAGACAUAAGCUGACUUCCCAGCAUCAGCAUCACUGUUGUCGUCAUUCAUUUGUGUGCCACCUUUCAGUAGUUAAACGGUGCUCAAAGCAGCUUACAACCUCAAAAAUUUCCCAUGCCAUUUUUUGACUCGCACCCACAGCACUCUCUGAAAAUUCAAAAUGUUCCCACUGGUCCAGAAAGUUUGGCGACCCUUCGUAAGACCAAAGGCCCAUCUAUUCCAGCAUUCUGUUCUCACUGUGGCCAACGAAAAGGCUUUUGGAAGCACAGCCUGGGCUCCGCAACAUCCAACUCACCCCAGCCUGGCAGAAAGCAAAAAGAUUGUUCUUUAAUCCCUUUGGAGUUGUUGAGUCAAGUCCUCCUGCCGGUAGCACUAAUGAAAAAUAUCCUGGCAUGAUGUGCCAAGAAAUCCUGAGAUACCCUCCUUUCUUCCCCCAUAGCGGUUUCUUCUUGUGACAGCUGAUAUCCUAAAGACAAUUGGAAGAAAGAAGCGAAGAUCGCGAUUCUGACAACUAUAUGAAUUCCAGUAGCUGCAAGCCAUGGUAUAAUGCAGUGCAGAAAUUCAGGGAAGUGUGUGUAGGGAGGGCAUUCUUAUAAUCUUCCAUCUGAUCUAAUUAUUGCAUUCCCGACGGAAGAAUUGGGGGAGUGGAUAACUGUGUUGUAUUUCUCCUUAUUAAAGUGAAGGGAGAGUUUUCAUUCUCAACAAAAUGGCUCCAGAUAUGGGUAGCACUAGUUAAAAAUGGAUCAGCUCUUGAUUGCAAAAAUUGGUAUAUUAAUUAUUUUAUCAUCAUUGUGUAAUCCCAGAACACAGAACAAGCACACUGCACUUAAAGGGCAGAAUUUUACUGAGACCAAAGAAUAUUAGAAAUGCUAUAAAAAGGAAUAACUUGAAAGUUGUUUUCAAGUGAGGAUUAAACAUAAAAGGUUACAAGGAUUUUAAAGCUUUUAUUAAUAUUUGGAAUUCUAAUUACUCAAUAUUAUGUACUCAGAUCUGUGGAUUCUUGCACACUUCCUUUCCAUUUUUUAAAGGAUGUUUUCCCAGAGCGUGAAUUCAGACCUGAAUUGAGUGCUUAUAACUAACCUUUACAUUUGGCUGAUCUGAAUAUCCAAAGUUCAGAUAAAAAGAGCUUUCUGAUUUUGAGAGACCUGCAAACAAGUUUUCUAAAUACUUGUUAAAUACAAUCAUAUGAGAAUAAAAAAAUGACUUAAGCUGCAAUCCUAUAUAUACUUAACUAGAAAUAAGUCCCAUUGAACUCAGUGGGGUUUACCUCUGAGUAGACAUGUAUAGUAUUGCACUAUAAUCCUGUCUGAAGUGGCAUUGGAGUCUUUCUGGAAGAUGCUCAAGAUCAAGCAUGAAUUAAUCAAUCUGAAAGGGAAGGGAAUUCAAUAACAGCCAUACACUCACAAAACAAAUAUUGCUAUGGGUUGGCAUGAACAUUAAAAUUCUCUAUAUCAGAGUUGCCCAAAGCAACCUCCCUAUAGCAAAUGCUAUUUUACAAUUACUAGAAACACUUGUUCACAUGUAUUACUUACUACCAUUACAUUGUCCAUGUUUGGAAUACUUCUUCCCAGCUUCAAAACCAUGGUUUAUGAAGCCAGGAAUGACAGUCCAUCGCACACCCCAUCCUUGCCCCUCCUCUUGCAUUCCUGGGUGGAAUUAAACCAGUGUUUCCCAUUCUGUCUGAAACAGAGAACUCUGGUUUAAUGUUAAUUAACUAACCAGAAUAAUACCAGAGUUCCCUGGUUAAAAUGGAAGGUGAAUGAAGGGAGAAUGGAGGAGUACAUCGGCCCAUUGCUUAAUCCUGGAUUCAUAUAUCAUGGUUUAUGAAGGCAGGAAGAAUAUCCAAAUGCAGCCAAUAUGAGUCUCCAAAAUGGCUUCUAGGAAUGUGGAAUGAAAAUUCUAAAGUUCACUAGAGCUGGUGAGAGUUGUCGUCAAAAUAUCUGGAGAGCACCAGGUUGGCAAUGGUGAUAGCUGCUGUGGGAAUUAUUGGCAAUGGGAAGAUCCCAGUGGUGAAUAUUUUGUGUGCUCUGACCCUAAGAGUCCUUCACACUUGAAUUUGGUGCACAGUUGGAAUGGUUGGACAGAACUCUCAAUCUUGGGCUGGAAUUACAUAUUCAGAGAACAUACGUUUCUCUCUCUGCCAACCAGUUGCACUGCAACGGGGUGAAGAGAUAUUUGCAGUGGAGAAAUGGCAGAUUAAAAUUUUGCCUUGCAUUUCCUCUGUUUGCCACAUUGUAGCAAAAAGCCACUGGAGGAAGCAGCUAUAAGAGAAAAGUGGCAGGGGCAAGAAAGACAAAAACAAACCCAUCCUGCUCACAUCAUCAUCAUAAUCCAAACUUAAAACCAGAUUAUACAGAAGUUAAGGAUCAACAAUCACAGAAUAUACACCCAGAAAAGUAAACAAGAAAUACUCUACAGUAAAGAAAGUAAAAUGUAUGAUGGACAUUAUUCUGAUAAUUAUUCUUCCAAAAUAUUGCAAAUUAAAAUCCAUCAUUCAAUAAACUUAUUUUUGUAGUUGCCAUUAAUUGAUCUUUUAUACUAGAUUAAUUUUGAUGUUCCAUAUUCUACCAUACCAUUCAGUUAUCGAUGGAAAUAUUCUUCCAUUUUGUGUUAAGCACAGUUUGGCAGCUGUAAGUAAAUCUGCAACUACUUGAUUGAUGUCAUUAACCAAGUCCUUAAGAUAACAUAAUAUUAUUUUGGGAUUCUGUGUUAUUGAACAGCUGGACAUUUCAUUAAUCAGAUCCAGAAAAUUAGUACAAAAAGACUGCAUUACUGGAUAAUCUUUCAAACCAGCUAAUAUUAGCUUAGUAUAUUCCUUUAUGUACAAUCCCAUUCCUUCAGAUGGAUUUCUUGUCCCAAGCCCCUUGUCCAUUUCUUCAUAAAAUGCCCAGAACCUAUUUGCUUCAUAUGACUCCUGGCCACUUGGCUGAAGACCCAGGGGUCUAGGAUUAGGCCUGAGCUGUAGAAAUAUCAUUUGGUUAUAGUACUAGAGAACGUGGCUCCUUCUCUAUCCAGGCCCCAAGUUCUUUAAAGACUUUACAGAUCAGGCUGGCACUAGGAAUUGUACCUAUUUUCAAUAGGCUUAAGCACACCGAACUCUCCUGUAUCAUAGGCACAAUUCUGAGCCAUCCAAUUUCUGAAUAAUGAAGAGAACUGCAUUAGAUAUAAUCCAUUUAGAAAAUGGCAGCAAAUAAAAUGGAACAGUGUGCCUUUUAAAGUCUAAAUUAAAAGUUCUUUUUCUUAAUAAUGCUCUUUAAUUGAAAAAAAAAUAAAGCUAUUGCUUUUUGAGAUGCCAAUUAAGCAGCUCAAAAUUGUCACUUUGUUUUCAGUUUUCCCUGCUAAAUGGAUUAUGAGAAAAUUAAUAGACCCCCCCCCCACUGAAGAUUUACUUCACCAAACACCACUAUAGUUUGCGCUGUGUUGGAAUUAUAAGAUUCCUGAUACACUGUUAACCAAGAUGCUGAAUUUAUAUAGUUUAAUAGAUUAAUAUGAGGACAUCUAUUUCAGUAAUCACAUCUCUCUUGCCUAAUGAUUCUUCAAGAUUAGAUGGUAUCCUUUUCCCCCCCUAAUGCAGGAAUGCUUUGAGGAAUUCAUUGUAGGAGAUUUUGGAAGUUAAUGUUUUGUCAUAAUAUUCCAAGAUGUGAAAGAACUCCUCUUCAGAUAGGUUGAUGCCAUAUUUGCGGAGCACCUGCAGAACACACAGAAAUUUGACAUUACGUAUUUUUAAUUGGGAACCAUCCAGGAAACCAACCAGCAAUAGGCAACUAACAUAGAAUGGAAAGAUUCACACAACUAAUUUAAGCAAAACUACCUUGUUCAAAAUAUCUGGACUUAUUUUCUCCCUAAUGUUCCUAUGGCAACUCCCAUCAAGGGGAUAGGCUAAUUUGUGAAUUAGGCCGAACACAAUACAGGAAGUUGUGUCUACACUACAGAUUGAUUCAGGGUUAGCUCUCUUGGGAAUGUGUGACAAGGGCUGGGGAUGUCUAACAGAACUUGCAGCACCUCUCACCAGAUUGCGAUUUCCAGCAUUCUUUGCGGGAAAGCCACGACAGUUAAACUAGGACGAAACUGAUGCUUAUUUUUAGUGUACAUCCAACCUACAUUAAUUAACAAAAUAUUCUACCCUCCUGUGGACACAACUACAUAUUACAAUUGCUAUGGGAAACAUGAGUGUUACACAGCAAUCUCCUGUGGCAAACCUGUAGCAGGUGGUUGUCGUGUGUACACACAUACCCAGUGUGGGUCUACUAUGCAUCUUUAAACAUCCAUAUACACAUAUCUGGGAAACCUGGCCCAAGCGGUUUUAAAAUGUACACAUACACAGCUGAAUAAGUAUUUGUGGCAUGCUAGAUUUCACUUUCACACUUUCCUGUGGGAAACACUGGUGUAACACUUGUGCUUCCUGCAGGAAUAUGGCAUGCAGUGUUGCCAUGGAUACCUGAGAAAAUUCAGGUCUAGAAGUCCAAAAAUCCAGAUUCUGCUUGGUUUUCCUCCCAUAACUCUCAAGAUCAUGCCCUGAUUAGGAUAAUAAUGUGUCCCACAUUUCAGAGGACAUCCUCUAUUAGAAGGGCUGAGCACUCCAAGUCUGGAUGGGGCCUUGGAGUUGUUCAUCAACAGUCCAGAUGUGAGCCACAGACUGAGCAGGCACACAGGUCUUCUGGCCGCAGUCUUCCCCCCAAUGGCGAGGUGUAUUGUAUUUCUAUUUCAAGUAUAGCAGUUAUGUCAUAAUUUGCUUCUAUACAUAUACUAGCACAUAAACAUUUUAUGCAAAUCUGUGUCCUCUUUUGUCCUCUUCUUUGGUGAUGCUUUUUGGCAAUGAGCAAGUGGCCACCCUAGCACUGAUUCCACUGCUCACCUGCCAGGUUUUGCCACAGGGGGUCAAGUUUUGCAGUUGCUGUACCUGCCUGGGCUCUAAUCCUCCCCAACAGGCUAGCGUUUUUGAAAUCAAAAGUUGAGAAUCCUCCAAGAGAAGGGCAAAACUUUUAUUUUAAAGAUAAAAGACCAAAAUCCAACAAAGGCUUAGAUAUCUAGCUAGCUCUCUUUUUGGCUUAAGGAGAUUAGUUAAGACUGCUUUUUUUUUUUUAAGAAAAGGCUUUGAUGCAUAUCCUGGGAGAAUUCUAUUUUCUCUUCUGUGUUAACGUUAGGAGAAGGAUAUGUCUGUUUAAUAAUGGCUUUCAAAAGUUUAUUAUUUAUAUCAUAUGUAUUAGAAGUGAGGCUACCUUUGAACACAAUUAGACCACUAAAUGGAACAGGUUAAUGUUAACAUAUUGCAUUGAUACUUGAGCAACUUCACUGAAAUACCAUUCACACACUUAUAUGAAUGGCAUUUUGAAAGUACACUACAUGUGCAGAGGUCCGAUUUGGAUUGGGACUCAUGUAGCCUUGGUGGCACGGAAUGCGUUCUACCAACUUCGGUUGGUAGCCCAGCUACGUCCCUAUUUGAGCAAGGAGGACCUCACAUCAGUUGUACAUGCUCUGGUAACCUCGCGUUUGGACUACUGCAACGCGCUCUACGUGGGGCUACCUUUGAAGACAGUUCGGAAGCUACAGCUAGUGCAAAAUGCAGCGGCCAGAUUGCUAACUAGGACCAAGCGGUUCGAGCAUAUAACACCUGUUCUGGCCCGCCUGCACUGGCUCCCAAUAUGCUUCCGGGCCAGAUUCAAAGUGUUGGUAUUGACCUAUAAAGCCCUAUACGGCACGGGACCACGAUACCUGUUGGAACGCCUCUCCCGGUACGAACCAGCCCGUACACUACGGUCUUCUACGAAGGCCCUCCUCCGGGUCCCGACUCACAAGGAGGCCCGGAGGGUGCUGACAAGAUCUAGGGCCUUCUCAGUGGUGGCCCCCGAACUGUGGAAUAGUCUCCCUGAGGAGGUGUGCUUGGCGCCAACACUAUUAUCCUUUCGGCACCAAGUUAAAACCUUCCUCUUCUCCAAGGCAUUUUAAUCUUAAUUUAAGUUAAUUUUAUGUUGUAUUGAUUUUAGUUGUGUUGUUUUUAUAUGCUCUGUUACAUUGUAUUCUGCGAUGUUAUUGUAUUUGUGAUCUUAUUGUACUUUGUUCACCGCCCAGAGAACUAUUGCUAGUCGGGCGGUAUACAAGCUGAAUAAAUAAUAAAUAAUAAUAAUAAUUGUGGAGACAAAGGGUUAAACUUCUCCUACCCACACCCACAUCACCAGCCAUUCCUGAAAUUGCCAGUUGUGUGAAUGGUGUUGUGUGUGGUUUGCCCCUGCCUACUGGCUUAUUUAUGAGUGCCAUUCACAGUGCUGAUGCUUAUCUCAAUAGUCCUUUAUGACUUGUUAACUGGGUGCAGAAGGGAACGUCUACUGCCGUAUCAACCUGCCCAUGCACUGAGAUCAUCCCCGGAACAUCCUCCGGGUGCCCCUACCAUCUGAGGUGAGGCAGGUGGUGACUGGGGAUAGGCAUGUCUUCCCCAGUUAUGGUGUCCUACCUGUGGAAUCCUCUCCCCAGGGAUGCUUGCCUGGUACCCAUCUUAAUAUUUUUUAUUACCAUCACCAAGUGAAAACAUUUACAUUUUCCCAGGCCUUUAAACAUCUGAUAAGACUCUUGUGUCCUGCUGUCUUACAUACGUUAAAAAAAACCCACAUAUACUACCAGCUAAAACACACAUGUUGUUGCUUUUAUUGUUUGUAUUGCUUUUUUGUAAA
Molecule: long non-coding RNA, 6831 nt
Organism: Rhineura floridana
Lineage: Eukaryota; Metazoa; Chordata; Lepidosauria; Squamata; Rhineuridae
Exons: 5
Source: RefSeq, a predicted model, not a curated record